Clupea harengus (Atlantic herring) is the source of this 900-nucleotide long non-coding RNA. NCBI's taxonomy places the organism in Eukaryota, Metazoa, Chordata, Actinopteri, Clupeiformes, Clupeidae. The record is from Ensembl.
UGAGAGCCAGAGACUAUGCAAACUGAAGGCCUGUAAAGAGGAGUUUUACAACGCUGUGAUCAACGUCUUCACGAGGAAAGAGCGGCGGAUGGAUUUUAUAUACAAAUAAUAUACCGAUUGCAAUGAUGACAUUCGACCUCAGAGCUACAGUCCCUUCGUCUACGAACUCUCUUCAGCCUGGCCCAACGAACAUAAGACCCUCAGCGCACCCCUUUUCCCCAAGGACUGGUUCCAUGCUGUGGUUCUGGGAAUCUUUCCCACGUCUGGACCCCGCUGCUCCAGCAGCCACUGCUCCGCCGCCGCCCUUCAGGGCCACCUUGCAGGGCGCAGAAAAACUGGCCCUUGAAAUAUGCGUGGCCGUCCUGGAGGGUUCGGGCUCGGCCACAAAUGUCGCAGGGACCCCCCAGGCUCUACUUCUUCUCUCCUUUGUCUCUAAUCCAGGCCAAUAUGAACAGUUUGACCCAGGUUAGACAUUAAGUGAACUUGAACCCCUCCCCUCAACACCUCUGAACAGCAGGGUGGGUGGAAAGUUCCUUGAAACCUUUAAGGUUUUGAAAGCCCUCCCCUCUGGACAGCAGGGUGGAAAGUUACGUGCAAACUUUGGACAGUACACAAUAACUAUUUACAAAUAUUUAGGCGGGGCGGGGCGAGGGGGGGGCUGCCCCCUCCGCCUGUUUUUCUGCCAGCCACUGCUCCACCGUCUUAGACUGGCCACAGAGCCGGCAGUUAAACCUGCACGAGGUGGCUGAGGCUGAGGACGAAGAUGUGCUGGCGCUGGCACUGGCACUGGCACUGGCGACGACGAGGUCAUACGCACCAGUUUACCUGAUUGCUGGAUGAGAUGUACCUCGCCAUUAUCUGAUGGAUGAUUAAAUGUAAUGUGAAUGGAUUAAAUGUAAU